UACAGAGGGGGCGAGCGUUGUUCGGAAUUACUGGGCGUAAAGGGCGCGUAGGCGGCCCGCUAAGUCGAACGUGAAAUCCCCAGGCUCAACCUGGGAACUGCGUCCGAUACUGGCAGGCUUGAAUCCGGGAGAGGGAUGUGGAAUUCCAGGUGUAGCGGUGAAAUGCGUAGAUAUCUGGAGGAACACCGGUGGCGAAGGCGGCAUCCUGGACCGGUAUUGACGCUGAGGCGCGAAAGCGUGGGUAGCAAACAGG
Molecule: ribosomal RNA, 253 nt
Filed under: uncultured bacterium
Lineage: Bacteria
Description: partial 16S ribosomal RNA
Rfam family: Bacterial small subunit ribosomal RNA
Source: RNAcentral